GAUAUCCGGGAUGUUGGGGUGGUUACCCCUCCUUUAGCCCAGAGUGGGGAGCAGCCCAGCUAGCAAGGUAGCCAGAGAGCAAGAAUGGGUCAGCCAACUAGGAGAGGGGGACCCUGGCCUUUCUUCCUAGUGGUGGUGCCGCAAGGUCUGGGGCACUGAGCCUGGGGAGCUGUGGGGGAAGAAGGCAGGAAAACUCUUUCUGGCAUCCUUAAGUCAGUCUCUUUCAGGAGCUUCUCUCUGCACACAGGAGUACCUGGCCGUAGUCGAUGCCCCUCCCCUGGACCUCCGGUUCAACCCCUCGGGCUACCUCUUGCUGGCUUCAGAAAAGGAUGCUGCAGCCAUGGAGAGCGACGUGAAAGUGCAGAGGGAUGGAGGACGAAGGUUGGUUUGACCCCUGGUGUCUGCUCCAGGGGCUUCGGCGAAAGGUCCAGUCCUUGGGAGUCCUUUUCUGCCAGGGAGAGGUGACACGUUUUGUCUCUUCAUCUCAACGCAUGUUGACCACAGAUGACAAAGCGGUGGUGUUGAAAAGGAUCCAUGAAGUCCACGUGAAGAUGGACCGCAGCCUGGAGUACCAGCCUGUGGAAUGCGCCAUUGUGAUCAACGCAGCCGGAGCCUGGUCUGCGCAAAUCGCAGCGCUGGCUGGUAUUGGAGAGGGGCCGCCUGGCACCCUGCAGGGCACCAAGCUACCUGUGGAGCCGAGGAAAAG
This 706-nucleotide small RNA is filed under the name Pan troglodytes (chimpanzee). RNAcentral describes it as "retained intron". The record is from RNAcentral. Lineage: Eukaryota; Metazoa; Chordata; Mammalia; Primates; Hominidae.